ACGGGUGAGUAAUAUAUCGGAACGUGCCCAGUAGUGGGGGAUAGCCCGGCGAAAGCCGGAUUAAUACCGCAUACGACCUACGGGUGAAAGCGGGGGAUCGCAAGACCUCGCGCUAUUGGAGCGGCCGAUAUCAGAUUAGGUAGUUGGUGGGGUAAAAGCCUACCAAGCCGACGAUCUGUAGCUGGUCUGAGAGGACGACCAGCCACACUGGGACUGAGACACGGCCCAGACUCCUACGGGAGGCAGCAGUGGGGAAUUUUGGACAAUGGGCGCAAGCCUGAUCCAGCCAUGCCGCGUGCGGGAAGAAGGCCUUCGGGUUGUAAACCGCUUUUGUCAGGGAAGAAAUCCUCUGAGUUAAUACCUCGGGGGGAUGACGGUACCUGAAGAAUAAGCACCGGCUAACUACGUGCCAGCAGCCGCGGUAAUACGUAGGGUGCAAGCGUUAAUCGGAAUUACUGGGCGUAAAGCGUGCGCAGGCGGUUGUGCAAGACAGGUGUGAAAUCCCCGGGCUUAACCUGGGAACUGCACUUGUGACUGCACAGCUGGAGUGCGGCAGAGGGGGAUGGAAUUCCGCGUGUAGCAGUGAA
Molecule: ribosomal RNA, 587 nt
Filed under: proteobacterium StTD368
Lineage: Bacteria; Pseudomonadati; Pseudomonadota
Description: bacterial SSU rRNA
Rfam family: Bacterial small subunit ribosomal RNA
Source: RNAcentral